AGGGAGUUUGAUCCUGGCUCAGGAUGAACGCUAGCUACAGGCUUAACACAUGCAAGUCGAGGGGCAGCAUGAAGGAAGCUUGCUUCCUUUGAUGGCGACCGGCGCACGGGUGAGUAACGCGUAUCCAACCUUCCCCUGACUCCGGAAUAGCCCGGUGAAAACCGGAUUAAUGCCGGAUGCGGUCCAGAGAGGACAUCUGACCUGGACCAAAGGCUUGCCGGUCAGGGAUGGGGAUGCGUCUGAUUAGGUUGUUGGCGGGGUAACGGCCCACCAAGCCGUCGAUCAGCCU
RNAcentral lists this ribosomal RNA (289 nucleotides) under uncultured Bacteroidota bacterium. RNAcentral describes it as "uncultured Bacteroidetes bacterium partial 16S ribosomal RNA". It matches the Rfam family "Bacterial small subunit ribosomal RNA", at positions 1 to 286 of the family's 1533-position model. Lineage: Bacteria; Pseudomonadati; Bacteroidota. The record is from RNAcentral.